Molecule: long non-coding RNA, 2481 nt
Filed under: Nicotiana benthamiana
Lineage: Eukaryota; Viridiplantae; Streptophyta; Magnoliopsida; Solanales; Solanaceae
Description: long non-coding RNA (NBEN_LNC036188)
Source: RNAcentral
UCCGCCUUUGAAUCACAUCGUCUCUAAAACUCUCUCAAAGUUCUUCGGAACCCUAGUCGCCUCCUACCCUUUUCAAAUGCUUUCACAGGAAUCCAUGGCUUCUCAGGCCAUGGAUGGUCUGUACUCACCCCUCUCUACCAUUAAACCCUGGUUGCUCGAAGUUUUAAGGUCUGACCUCGAUGGUUGUCUUUCAUAUCUUCUCAGAUCUAUGGCUCUAUGGCUUCUCCAGCCUUGCUCUUGCAUAUCCAAAGCGUUAUGAGCCUGAUUCUAACUCAUACGACUCCAGAUCGGACUUUCUUCCAAGACUUUCUCAUUUUUAGGGUUUCUCUAAGCUAUUCGAGGUUUUUCUCUGUUUGUUUUCUUAGAUAUAUACUAUAUUUGUGUUUUAUGGACUUUUAGAGUGUUUUCCCCAAACUUUUCUUUCAUACAUAUUUCUCUUCGAUUUAGGGUUUCUGAAAGGGUUUCAAAAGGACUUUCUGAUUCUUCCUUUUUAUUUUCUUUAUGUGUGUUUGCAUAUUCUAUGUUUUGCCACGCAUGUGUUGUUCUUCUGCUUUUCUUUGUACUAUACCUGACUCUUCUGUACUUCAUAUUCUACUGUGCCUUUAGACUAGGCUCGCAUGUUAAUCUAUGUUAUGUUUUUCUAUAUGUUCUUUGCUAUACUUUUCAGUAUUCUUCUACUGUGUGUGUUUCCUGCUAAGUUCUUAAGUUUGUUUGCCUUUACUGAACUUCUGUUUGAAUACUAAACAUGUUUCAUCUACCGUUUCUUAAGUUUACAUCACUUCUCCUCUCUUCUGAACUUGCUUAAGUUCCGAGCUUUUCUUAAAAACAUAUACUUUACACUUUUAAAUAAACUCUUUUCACUACGUUACUUCAAACUUGCAAAUGUAUCUGUGUGUUUCUUCAUGAGGAUGUGAAAGAGUCCUCUGAGCCUGAUGUAUUGGCUUGCCUUCUUGUCUCUGCAUCUAAUUCGAGUUGAAACCUUAGGAUUUGGGGUUUUUUUUGGAAAGUUUGCUUUUGUGUUCGAAUUGGGGUUCUACUUUGGAACCCUGGACUAUCAGACUCAUUUUGAGUCUAUGAACUAAAUAUGAAUCUCUUUAUUAUGACUCUGAACUUUUCUAUGCCAAGUCUUUUCUAAUUAGCAUGACAACUCCUUCUUGCUUGAUGUCUGUUUGCUUUAUAUACGAGGAAUUCUUACUUCAAAAAGGGUUUUGCUAGCUAUUGAUUGAUUUCGAAUUCUUUUUAAUAUGGCUUGACUGAUUGUUACUAAUUUUCUUUAAUUGAACCCUCUUUACCUUUUCCUGACUUGGUUCAUUUGAACAAAGCUUGCAAUUUUGAUUUUACUGGUUGUUUGAUUGAUUCCCUUUCCUUAUUUUCACAAACCGUGUACCACUGAACUUUUGCCUUAAAUAAACCCCUGUGUAUUUGACCUUAUUAUACUGCUUUGAAAAAUAUUUUGAUCAACUCUUUCCAUAAUUGUCUUUUACCUGUUUGAAAUUAGAAUCCUGUGAUUAAAGGGAGAUUAAUUUCAAUGCUAUUUUUUUACCUUUUCUUACUUGCUUUCUGCAGUAUAAAAGGCACGACCCUCCUAAACUUUAAGACAUCUCCAAUCUUUACAUUACUCACCUCACACUCUCAAUUUUAACACCCUUUCAACAUUCUACUCUCUUCUGAGACCUUUUGGAUUGUUUGCUUGAAAUUUGGCUUCACAAGACUUCUGCUUUUACUUUUUUGUUUCCAUGAAACUGGUAUGUUAUAAUUUAGUUUCAAGCAUCAUCCCAAUAUGUUUAUUUACAACUUCUACAAUCAUAGUUACAUUAUUGUCCAUGCUUAGUGAUUAAGAUUAAGUAUGCAUGUUCUUUUCUUGCAUCUAUUUCUAUUGUGAAUCUGUAUCCCCUAUUCCCUUCUCUGUGUUUGAGUUAAAGUUCAGAACAUGGCAACAUCCAAGUUGUUUCUCAUGUAUGGACUUGAUCCAUAAAGGAUCCUAACUCCCAAACAAUGUUCCUAACAUGCUGGUUGGGGUGUGCCAGCACUCCUAAUUACUGGGUAUGACCACCACCAUGUCUUGGUAUUCCCCUAAUUGCCCCCUAUGCACUUGAACUCUCUCUUAGACUCUAAGUUCUGCCCCCUUUCUAUGAGCCUUGCCUUGGGACCUUGAGUUCCCUCUAAACUUGGACAUUUGAGGGCUGACCCUUCCACACUACACUAUAAUCAAUUAUGCAAUUUAUUUGCAUGUAAGCAUUGCCGGGAGUCCACUUGAGGCUCUUGGGAAUUUUGAUAUAUUCCAAAUAAGAGAAAGACUUUGGAAAUAUGAUCUUUGGAAGUUGGUUUAUCUCAUGUUUCAGACCUGGAGUUUGAAUUAGGCUCUCUUUGGUUGUAAUUUAAUUUCUAAUGUAAUCUUUUCUUUCUUAUUCAUUCUAGUCUGUAAUAAUUUGUAAUAACUUAUGGGAAUUUUAGUAAUAAGGGAAGGGUCAUUCAUUUAUG